Molecule: long non-coding RNA, 2589 nt
Filed under: Hordeum vulgare
Lineage: Eukaryota; Viridiplantae; Streptophyta; Magnoliopsida; Poales; Poaceae
Description: long non-coding RNA (HVUL_LNC016803)
Source: RNAcentral
CAGCCACCGUUUGCAUACGAAGAUGCCUUUGCUGUGCUCGUGAGUGUCGCCUGUGGGCCGUUUGUUUUGCUCCGCCGGAGGGUGGAGUGAUGCCUCGCUGCUGCUGCCGGUAUACAGCGCGCCAUGCGAAGAUUCGUCGGGAAUCGCCGUUGCAACGCACAGCGACCCGCUCCCUCCCUUUCUCCUCAAACGGCGGCGCGGCACGCCCUUCGGUGGUCUUUCCGGGACGCGCCACCGAGCCAAGCGAUUGGCCACCGCCGUAGUCAGCCGUGCCGAGGGAGGCCCGGCGCUUCCGCCGCACCUAGGCGGCACGCCGCUGCGAGGAGCCAUUCCGGGAGGAGCAGCGCCCGCCUUUGCUCCCGUGGGGGCUAGGCCGAUGGCCGAGCGCGGGGCGCAAGGCGUGCCGGGAGGAGCGGCCGCGCCUCGUGCUCGUCGUUCCGGCGCCGGAGGGCAAAGCCGAGGACCUUGGCUCGGCCAUUGGACGCCGAUGAGACGCCUCGCUGAUGGAAGCAGGCGAGGCCGCUUGUUCGUUGAGCGCUCCGUUGGGAUGGGUUGCCGUCUCCGAUGGGCAACGAUGAAAACAAGCACUCCAAUGGUUAGUUCAUCCGUUCAAACAUGAACAUAACUAAUCAGUUUGUGCAUUUAUUUACUGAGUGCAUAUGCAAACCGGAUUAUCAUCGAUCCGUUCUUUAUGGAUUUAGAUUCAGCAUGUCUAUGAGGAGAUCGGCCAUGCUCCAAGCCGAGGGCCGCUCUGGGAUGCAGGGCGCCUGGAACCUCGUUGGGAAUAAUAGUCGUUGCUGCGCCUCCACGAACGGUGGGGAAACUGACUACUAUCCGUCGUCGUUUCCGAUUCUUUCGCCUGGUCGCUCAGGAAAGAGCGUGCUGAUGACGUGUUAAGAAUAAACGAGAGAGGGAAAGCGAAUGAUUGGAAUGAACAGUAAUCUCUCGUUGAUGAAAACUGAGAUAUUUAUACCCAGUACAUGGCGGUUUAUAAAAGGGGUGGUUGCCAAAAGAACAACCGAUAUAGUAUUGAUUAAUUACAUAAUUAAUACAUACUAAUUAUUUCUAACAAUGGCCUCCCUCGCGCGUGGGCCGAGUCAUUAGGCUCCCACUUCAGCGAGUUUAUUUGUAUAUUUUGACUUCUCGGCUGAUUCACUUCUUCUAAUGGUAAGAGCAUCUACACCCGGACUUGACAAAUCCGUCCCCCUAUACACACGUGGACGGAUCCGGGCGCCCGCGAACGCAUCCGGACGACCUUUUAUAUUUCGCUCUGUGCAUCCAUAUAUCUCAUAUCCGGACUCUAAAAUUCAUACAAAGCCAUGCACGUCGUCAUCCCAUACAAAUUAUUCGAAUUCAAGAGUCCUAAACAAAAGGAAAUGAUAUCAUAGUUCAACCAAACGGACAUGUCAAAAUAAAAUCAAUGUCUGACCGACAAGUGCUGAUUGUUGGAUCACUGGCCGGACGAGUUCAUCCAUGCGUCUUGCCCUGCCUGCAUCUGGGCUGUUGUUAGAGCAUAUUUCUCCAUAUGUGGUUUUGGUAAUUGAUGACAAUCCCUAUGGACUAAUGGUUGACUUAAGUUAUAUUUAUAGGAUUUGUCCAUAGGCACUUCUUGAAGUCCAUCUGUUGGGUUCAAGGAGUUUAUAUGAUGACCAAGGUGGUAUUCAAGGUAUUAUCCAAAGAAUGGUCAUAGAGACACAAGGUUGAUCAAGAUCGUCAGACAAAGAGUAAAUCAAGAUGAUCAACACACAAAGCGUACAAGAUGUACCGACGGGGAUCAAGUGAUCCCAUGGUAUGGUAAGCAUUGUCCAUUACGUGUUUGUGUACUAACCCAUGGUCUUUGUGAGAGUUCUCUGUGGGGUUAGGUGUGUUUCCAUGGGCUUGCGUCUAGAGGAAGAUCUCAUACAACCCAUGAAGUAUGACGUCAAAAGUGGUGAUCGUCAUCAAAAUUGCGGUGUGCAAGUUCAAGUGGAUCAGCACGAAGAUAUCAUGCUUGAAGCUUGCCGUCCAUUGUAGUGGCAAUGAACUUGUGAAGAUAUGCUGAAGAGCGGCUCACCCAUGUUGUGCAUGGGGGAGCAAUCAACUAGUAUUCAUCAAGCCAACGCAAUCAACAAGGUGGUCCAUCUUGAGGAAGCCAAGAUCAUCGUCAUCUAGCUUAAGAGGACGAGGUGCAAGGUAUAUGUUUGCCCUUGAUAGGUUUUCUGUUUUAGGAUAGAUUGUCGUACUAUCAAGGGGGGAUCUCAAGUGAGUAGCUCGAUCGUAUUGUUCGUUGAGAGCCCAAACCAUUUGCAUCCUUGCAUCAUACUUCUUGGUUCUUGUUUGGUGUUUCUCUUUGUGAGUUUUAGAGCUUAUGCUCAUCUUCAUGACAAGCUCGAGUUCAUCGAAAACGGAGUCCAUAUGCAUCUACUAUGAUGUUUUCGAUGUUGGAGUUUUUGCCGGUUCUUAAUUCAUAGAGGUCUCACAUCUCUAUAUCAUUGGCAUUUUCAUAUCUGCUUGGUCUUAAGAUAGCUGUUUGGAUAGCUCUUGUCGUCCUGAAUCCAACAAGCUUGGGUUUGCUCGAUUCGGAGCUCGUGUGCGAAAGUUAUGGUUGUU